This 1398-nucleotide long non-coding RNA is filed under the name Phasianus colchicus (ring-necked pheasant). RNAcentral describes it as "lncRNA (ENSPCLG00000013327.1)". The record is from RNAcentral. Lineage: Eukaryota; Metazoa; Chordata; Aves; Galliformes; Phasianidae.
AUGGGGUGGCACAGGGACACCAGGAGUGUCCCAAAUCCCAUUGUCCCCAGAGGACCCCAUAGCAGAGGCGACGUGUCCCCAAAUGUCCCCAAUGUGUCAUUGAGGCUCCCCCCUCCACCCCCAUCCUCCCCCCCCCCCGGUGUUGUUUUGGGGUUGGAAUGUACGUCUGUCCGUCACCACAACCCCACAGUGGGGACGUCUGGGGACAUUUGGGGACAUUUGGGGACAUUUGGGGACAUUUGGGGACAUUUGGGGACAUUUGGGGCCAGGGCUCCGUGUCCCCAAGGGCCCUCGUGGGGCUGUGAGUCACCAGAAGGAAAACAGGAAUGGAACCGGGGGGGGGGGGGGGGGGGGGAAGGAAGGGGGGAGGGAUCCGUUUGUGGGAUGUGGGGGGGUUGGGGAUGUUCCCAUCCCAAUCCCAAUCCCAAUCCCAAUCCCAAUCCCAAUCCCGGUCCCCAUCCCAAUAUCAACCCCAUCCCAUUCCAUCCCAAUUCCAAUCCCAUUCACAUCCCAAUCCCAAUCCGCAUCCCAAUCCCAAUCUCCAUCCCAAUUCCAUCCCACCCCAACCCUAAUCCCAUCCCAUCCCCAAUCCCAUCUCCAUCCCAAUCCCGGUCCCCAUCCCCAUCCCAAUAUCAGUGCCAUCCCAUCCCAUCCCCAUCCCAUUCCUUCCCAAUUCUAUCCCAUCCCAUCCACAUCCAAAUCCCAGUCCCCAUCCCCAUCCCAAUAUCAAUCCCAUUCCCAUCCCAUCCCCAUUCCAUCCCAUGCCAAUUCUAUCCCAUCCCAUCCCCAUCCCAAUCCCAGUCCCCAUCCUCAUCCCAAUAUCAACCCCAUCCCAUUCCAUCCCAUUCCAUCCCAAUUCCAAUCCCAUUCACAUCCCAAUCCCAAUCCCAUCCCAAUCCCAGUCUUCAUUCCCAUCCCAAUAUCAAUCCCAUUCCCAUCCCCAUCCCAUUCCAUCCCAUCCCAAUUCCAAUCCCAUUCACAUCCCAAUCCCAAUCUCCAUCCCAAUCCCAAUCUCCAUCCCAAUUCCAUCCCACCCCAACCCUAAUCCCAUCCCAGUCCCAAUCCCAAUCCCAUCCCAAUCCCAGUCUUCAUUCCCAUCCCAAUAUCAAUCCCAUUCCAUCCCAAAUCCAAUCCCAUUCACAUCCCAAUCCCAAUCUCCAUCCCAAACCCAUUACCACCCCAUCCCAAUCCCAAUUCCAUCCCAUCCCAGUCCCAAUCCCAUCCCCAAUCCCAAUUUCAGUCUCCAUUCCCAUCCCAAUAUCAAUCCCAUCCCAUCCCCAUCCCAUUCCAUCCCACCCCAACCCCAAUCCCAUCCCAAUCCCAACCCCUACCCCAACCCCAAUCCCCAUCUCCUUCCCAAUCCCAUCCUCGUCCCCACCCCAAUCCCAUCCCAACCCC